RNAcentral lists this ribosomal RNA (253 nucleotides) under uncultured bacterium. Its description in RNAcentral is "partial 16S ribosomal RNA". It matches the Rfam family "Bacterial small subunit ribosomal RNA", at positions 524 to 776 of the family's 1533-position model. The record is from RNAcentral.
UACGUAGGUGGCAAGCGUUGUCCGGAUUUACUGGGUGUAAAGGGCGUGCAGCCGGAGAGACAAGUCAGAUGUGAAAGCCCGGGGCUCAACCCCGGGACUGCAUUGGGAACUGCCCUGCUGGAGUGCCGGAGGGGCAGGCGGAAUUCCUAGUGUAGCGGUGAAAUGCGUAGAUAUUAGGAGGAACACCAGUGGCGAAGGCGGCCUGCUGGACGGUGACUGACGCUGAGGCUCGAAAGCGUGGGGAGCAAACAGG